RNAcentral lists this transfer RNA (70 nucleotides) under Cynoglossus itinus. RNAcentral describes it as "tRNA-Gly". It matches the Rfam family "tRNA". From Rfam's summary of the family: Transfer RNA (tRNA) molecules are approximately 80 nucleotides in length. Their secondary structure includes four short double-helical elements and three loops (D, anti-codon, and T loops). The record is from RNAcentral. Lineage: Eukaryota; Metazoa; Chordata; Actinopteri; Pleuronectiformes; Cynoglossidae.
AUCUUUCUAGUACUAAGCAGUACGCGUGACUUCCAAUUACUCAGUCUUGGUUAAAAUCCAAGGAAAGAUA